This is a non-coding RNA of Chelonoidis abingdonii (Abingdon island giant tortoise), 702 nucleotides long. Lineage: Eukaryota; Metazoa; Chordata; Testudines; Testudinidae. The record is from the annotation of a RefSeq genome assembly.
CAUAGCAAGAUGAUCUCCCAGGCUCAGCUCAUCUGGCUGUUAGUGCUCUGGAUCCAAGACUCCAGUGGGCAGAUUGUGCUGACUCAGACUCCAGAAUCCCUGGCAGUGUCUCUAGGAGACAGAGUCACCAUCAACUGUAAAGCCAGUUCCAGCACUGGCAACCAUUUAACCUGGUACCAACAGAGAUCAGGACAAGCUCCUAAACUUCUUAUUUAUCAUGGCUUUAACCUCGCCUCUGGAGUCCCAGCCCGGUUUAGUGGCAGUCAGUCUGGGAGUGGCUACACCGAUUACACUCUCACUAUCAGCAGCGCAGAAGCUGAAGAUGCUGGAGAUUACUAUUGUCAGUACUGUUAUAGCUCCCCUCUCACAGUGAUACAGACCCAUACAAAAACCUCCCUGCCCUGUUUGGUUUCAGUUUCUCUCAUCCAGGUAUCAGUGGAAAUUGGGGUAAAGCACAAACUUCUCAUCUAUACUGCAUCUGUCAAUCCUGAGGAUGCUCCAGACCAAAUCAGUAGAACUGGGAAUGGCUACAUUGACCAGAUUCUCAGCAUCCGUGGGUCUGAAGCAGAUGAUGCUGGAGGUUAUUACAGUCAACAAGAUGAAGGACCAUCAGUACAAAAGCCUUCUCAUUUGAUAGAGUUUCUUUCACUCCUGUCACAGAUGGAGCUUUAUGGCUAUGACACUGGAACCAGAGAGCUGUGA